AGCAAUAUUAUUAUGUGUAUUUUUGUUCGUAAUAAGUAAGCUAAUGAACAUAUCUCGUAUUGAGAGGUGACUAGUUAGCAAUAAAUAAUGUGUAUUUUUGUUCGUAAUAAGUAAGCUAAUGAACAUAUCUCGUAUUGAGAGGUGACUAGUUAGCAAUAAAUAAUGUGUAUUUUUGUUCGUAAUAUGUAAGCUAAUGAACAUAUCUCGUACUGAGAGGUGACUAGUUAGCAGUGGUGUUGAUACCCAUAUACUCAUAGUAAUGAUGUAAACGAACAUUUUCUAUUGUACGUUGUUGAGGUGACCAAUUAGCAAGUAAUAUUUUGUUUAUAGAAUUGACAAUUCACAUGCUUACAAAAAUACUUUGUAUGAGUUCACUUUGAAGCAAGACUCCUCUCAUACAAUACAUAAGCAAUGCUUAAAGCAUGUAAUGUGUAAAUGGAAAUUUCAGUAUUUAAUAACAACACUCGUUUGAUGGUAAGAUUUAAAUUCUAUUUAGAGAUCGUUGUCGGUAACUUAGGAUUUAUCUGAUGUGUUGUAUAUUUUGUAUCUCUUUUACUCGUUUGUAAAUUCUUCUUUAAGUCCUUCGGUCAGAAUUCUGGUUUGAUUGAACGUUAAAAUGAUUAUUCGAUGACUUCUUCAUUUUAGAAACGAUUUGCUGAUAUUGAUUAUUCAAUUUAGAGAAUCGGUAAUUCAGUUACCAAUUAUAUUUUGUUUACGGUUUAUUGCAUUUGAAAACACUAUACUCGUUGUCGUUACAUUUACUAUGAUUCUGGCCGAAGGACCUUGUUUGUCCCGUGUGUUUAUGACGGUAAAGGAACUCGGCCAAUUCAUAUGUAUAAUUGAAAACAAAUGGCAAACUUAUCAACAUGUCGAUACUUAAUUCUUGGUAUGUUUUUUUUAGAUAUAUAAUGUGUUAUAAAUUAUUUUUAUUUCUAGAUAAUCAGUUGAAAAAAUGUAUGUAAAGAAUGAUAUUUUAAACACUGCUGUAGUUCAUUUUACCUGAUUUGAUUUAUUGAUUGCUGUAAGGGUUAACUAAUCCAUUUGUGAUGAUAAAUAAAACAUGGCUUGGACAAAAAUAAACAGAUAAUAGAA
This is a long non-coding RNA of Mya arenaria, 1092 nucleotides long. RefSeq lists it as uncharacterized. Lineage: Eukaryota; Metazoa; Mollusca; Bivalvia; Myida; Myidae. The transcript has 2 exons. The record is from RefSeq and is a predicted model, not a curated record.